UUACUAGUAGCAGAUGACAUAAGUACGUGUUCACCUGACGCUCCACCAGUCGCAGUUUUUUCCUUUGGUGGUCCUCGAGUAGGCAACAAAGGUUUCGCCAAUCGUCUGGAGUCCAAAAACGUUAAGGUGUUACGUAUCGUGAACAAGCAAGACGUGAUCACUAAAGUUCCAGGGAUGUUUGUGAGCGAAGCAAUAGACAAGAAACUAAGGGACACCGGUGCCUCGGGGGUGUUGAACUUGCUUGACAAUAGCAUGCCAUGGGCUUAUUCACAUGUUGGCACAGAAUUGAGAGUUGACACAACAAAG
This 306-nucleotide unclassified non-coding RNA is filed under the name Hevea brasiliensis (rubber tree). The record is from RNAcentral. Lineage: Eukaryota; Viridiplantae; Streptophyta; Magnoliopsida; Malpighiales; Euphorbiaceae.